RNAcentral lists this ribosomal RNA (380 nucleotides) under uncultured bacterium. Its description in RNAcentral is "bacterial SSU rRNA". It matches the Rfam family "Bacterial small subunit ribosomal RNA", at positions 28 to 409 of the family's 1533-position model. The record is from RNAcentral.
GACGAACGCUGGCGGCGUGCUUAACACAUGCAAGUCGAGCGGUAAGGCCCUUUCGGGGGUACACGAGCGGCGAACGGGUGAGUAACACGUGGGUGACCUGCCCUCAGCUCUGGGAUAAGCCUGGGAAACCGGGUCUAAUACCGGAUAUGACUCCAUGACGCAUGUUGUGGGGUGGAAAGCCUUGUGCGGCUGAGGAUGGGCCCGCGGCCUAUCAGCUUGUUGGUGGGGUGAUGGCCUACCAAGGCGACGACGGGUAGCCGGCCUGAGAGGGCGACCGGCCACACUGGGACUGAGACACGGCCCAGACUCCUACGGGAGGCAGCAGUGGGGAAUCUUGCGCAAUGGGCGAAAGCCUGAUGGAGCGACGCCGCGUGCAGGAU